AUCUUCCAACACAUGAUAGCCAGCCCCUUAUGGUCUAAAUCAACACAGAAUGACCUCACUUUGCUGUAUGGAAAGUCUCAUUAGUAAGGAAGCAUAUAUGAGUUUUCUGAGUCAAGACCUAAAGUGACUGUUUGGGGUUUUGUUAGGUUAAGUUUAGGGUAUCUUCCAACACAUGAUAGCCAGCCCCUUAUGGUACAAAUCAACACAGAAUGACCUCACUUUGCUGCAUGGAAAGUCUCAUUAGUAAGGAAGCAUAGAUGAAUUUUC
This is a long non-coding RNA of Eriocheir sinensis (Chinese mitten crab), 267 nucleotides long. RefSeq lists it as uncharacterized. Lineage: Eukaryota; Metazoa; Arthropoda; Malacostraca; Decapoda; Varunidae. The transcript has 2 exons. The record is from RefSeq and is a predicted model, not a curated record.